This 253-nucleotide ribosomal RNA is filed under the name uncultured bacterium. Its description in RNAcentral is "partial 16S ribosomal RNA". It matches the Rfam family "Bacterial small subunit ribosomal RNA", at positions 524 to 776 of the family's 1533-position model. The record is from RNAcentral.
UACGAGGGGGGCGAGCGUUGUUCGGAAUUAUUGGGCGUAAAGGGUGCGUAGGCGGUUCCGCAAGUCCUGUGUGAAAUCUUCGGGCUCAACUCGAAGUCUGCACGGGAAACUGCGGGGCUUGAGUGUGGGAGAGGUGAGUGGAAUUCCCGGUGUAGCGGUGAAAUGCGUAGAGAUGUGGAGGAAUACCGAUGGCGAAGGCAGCCCCCUGGGAUAACACUGACGCUCAUGCACGAAAGCGUGGGGAGCAAACAGA